CUGUGAGUUGCUGCCCACCCCUGUAAUAGAGGACUGUGAGUUACUGCCCACCCCUGUAAUAGAGGACUGUGAGUUACUGCCCACCCCUGUAAUAGAGGACUGUGAGUUGCUGCCCACCCCUGUAAUAGAGGACUGUGAGUUGCCGCCCACCCCUGUAAUAGAGGACCAGCUAUUAUCUACUCCAGGUGAGGGGAAGGUCGACAAGAGGAGGGGACCCGUUUGAGCUCUUGAACUCUUGAACUGUGAACUUUAACCCCGCCCCCCCUCCUCUCUGUCCCCCGUUAAGGCCACUCAGGGGGAGGGUUUGUGUGGUUUCGGCAGUACCAGGAAGCUCUGAGGAGCUUCCACUCUUUCCUCUGGGUUUUAUUUUCUAUACCAGUUCUUAGGGUUGUAAAAUUCCCAAGUUUCCCCAGAAAUCUUGGUUGGGUUGGGCUUCCGGAUUUCCUCUUGAUUCCAGGAAUCUUCCAACUAGGAUUUCUGGAAACCGUGAGAAUGUGCGUGUGGGGGGAAGUUAACCAGAAUUUUACAACCCUUACCUGUUAUAUUUAACUGAACAGGUAGACCCAACCCUGCCUUAACUCCUAGUCUGGGAUCAGUUUUGCCUUCAGCCCUCUAUUGGUGAAGGUAAGGGAGGGCAGUCACAAGACCUUAGGGGUUGAACAAAUCUGGAAACUUUCCCCCCAAAAUUCCCAGAAUUUUGGGGAUUUUCUAGGAUUUCUGUGAAAGUGGAGAUUUCAUGGGAAAGUUUACAGGAGGAAUAUUUCAAACCCGAGGACAGCUGAUCUUAGAUUUUGUGGUUAGGAGGUUAACUUUAACCUGGAGUAAUAUUUAACUCUUAGAUGGUAUAUGUUAUAUAAUUGGUGCUUCCUUCUUCUCUUUUACUUCUUCAUACCAGUCUGUCACUUCCUGUCCUUCUCAUCUUUUACUCCUUAAUACCAGUCUGUCACUUCCUGUUCUUCUCAUCUUUUACUUCUUCAUACCAGUCUGUCACUUCCUGUCCUUCUUCUCUUUCCCACUCCCUACCAGUCUGUCACUUCCUGUUCUUCUCAUCUUUCUCACCUGAAACUCUUUAAAAAAAAAGUAUGUUGUCUGUACAUCUACCUGCCCUCACCCCCAUCCCUCACCCCUCCUCACCCUCUGUCCCUCCUACCUCAUCACUCCUCACCCCUUUCCCCCAUCUCUGUCCCUCCUACCUCACCCCUCCUCACCCUCUGUCCCUCCUACCUCACCCCUCCUCACCUCUUUCCUCUAUCUCUGUCCCUCCUCCCUCACCCCUCCUCACCCUCUGUCCCUCCUCACCCCUUUCCUCUAUCUCUGUCCUGCCUCCCUCACCCCUCCUCACCCUCUGUCCCUCCUCCUCACCCCUCUCACCCUCUGUCCCUUCUACCUCAACCCUCCUCACCCUCUGUCCCUCCUACCUCACCCCUCCUCACCCCUUUCCUCUAUCUCUGUCCCUCCUCCCUCACCCCUCCUCACCCUCUGUCCCUCCUACAUCAAUUCUGUCCCUCCUCCCUCACCCCUCCUCACCCUCUGUCCCUCCUACCUCACCCCUCCUCACCCUCUGUCCCUCCUCACCCCUUUCCUCUAUCUCUGUCCCUCCUCCCUCACCCCUCCUCCCCCAUUCCAAGAGCUUUGUGUAAACAAGGUCCUUACUGCCCUUCACUGUCACCUGUAGAGUAGAACUUAGGUUUUGACGUGUUUUAAAGACAAUGUGUUAUAAUGUAAUGUUAUAAUGUUGGCUCAACGUGGGAAACCUGGAGAGAUGUGCAUGAAUAGAAGGAAGGCUGUAUUUGUAGAGUAUUGGAAUGGGGCCCGUGGGAAGGAAGGAUGUAUUUGUAGAGUAUUGGAAUGGGGCCCGUGGGAAGGAAGGAUGUAUUUGUAAAGUAUUGGAAUGGGGCCCGUGGGAAGGAAGGAUGUAUUUGUAGAGUAUUGGAAUGGGGCCCGUGGGAAGGAAGGAUGUAUUUGUAGAGUAUUGGAAUGGGGCCCGUGGGAAGGAAGGAUGUAUUUGUAGAGUAUUGGAAUGGGGCCCGUGGGAAGGAAGGAUGUAUUUGUAGAGUAUUGGAAUGGGGCCCGUGGGAAGGAAGGAUGUAUUUGUAAAGUAUUGGAAUGGGGCCCGUGGGAAGGAAGGAUGUAUUUGUAGAGUAUUGGAAUGGGGCCCGUGGGAAGGAAGGAUGUAUUUGUAGAGUAUUGGAAUGGGACCCGUGGGAAGGAAGGAUGUAUUUGUAGAGUAUUGGAAUGGGGCCCGUGGGAAGGAAGGAUGUAUUUGUAGAGUAUUGGAAUGGGACCCGUGGGAAGGAAGGAUGUAUUUGUAGAGUAUUGGAAUGGGGCCCUUGAGUUAUUCACAGAAAUUAUCUUCUCAGCUGUAACUCCUCCUCUCUCUCCCCCCUCCUCUCUCUCCCCCCCACUUUCUCUCUAUCCAUCCCCCUCUCUCCCCCCUCCUCUCUCUUUCUCGCUCUCUCUCCCCCUCCUCUCUUUCCCCUCUCUCCCCCCUCCUCUCUCUCCCCUCCUCUCUCUCUC
This 2517-nucleotide long non-coding RNA is filed under the name Salmo salar (Atlantic salmon). Its description in RNAcentral is "lncRNA (ENSSSAG00000086711.1)". The record is from RNAcentral. Lineage: Eukaryota; Metazoa; Chordata; Actinopteri; Salmoniformes; Salmonidae.